GGAAGGAGGGAGUCGUAACAAGGUUUCCGUAGGUGAACCUGCGGAAGGAUCAUUG
Molecule: ribosomal RNA, 55 nt
Filed under: Setaria italica (foxtail millet)
Lineage: Eukaryota; Viridiplantae; Streptophyta; Magnoliopsida; Poales; Poaceae
Description: partial 18S ribosomal RNA
Rfam family: Eukaryotic small subunit ribosomal RNA
Source: RNAcentral